UUCAAACAAGCCUGAACAAGCUCACUCAUUAUUGGCAAUAGAAGUUCCUCCAAAAACGGGACUCAGACCAACUCGAACUAAUCGCUGUCAACAGGGUGGAAUUGGUUCCAAUAUGGCGGUAGCCACAUCAGGAAGUGAUGGCAAAGGCUCUGCCCUGAUUUUGGGAGAGCCAGAGAUGGUGUGGGUUUCUUUUUUUUAGAGCCACAGCAGACUAUUUGUCAAAAAAAAUCAAUGACACAUCAGGUCUUUUUUCGAAGAAGGACAGAGAUGGCCUGUUCCAUCAACUCCAACUACAAACAGAACGAAAGGAAGGAGAACAUCCAGUUUGACAAAAAGCUGUUGUGUUGUUCAUAGCUUUGGACGGCAAAAAUGUCAACAACUGACGAGAGAUCCAGACCGACCAAGAACAAGAUUAUUUUCACUUCAUAACGGAUACCACAAUUCUUGAUCCAAUCUCGCCCUCAGCACUCCACUGGGGACCAACAGAACAGUUUAGAUAAAGAUCCGUUGUUGUUGUCUAAGUACAAAGCUCUUUUAGUCAACCAAAGAGUUCUUUAAACAGCCACAAGACCACAAAAACUUUAGAUGUUUUUCUUGGUUUAUGCCUUACUUAUCAACAUCUUCAUUGCUGAAUUCAACGGUUAGCAACUCAAUGUUUCACUCAAACACAGCCAACACACCAGAUAUUUAUUAAAACAAAUUAACUCAAAUUAACUGAAGUCUUAGUCCCAACUGUCCGUAUGGGUUAAUAUGGGCUAACUAUGAUUGAAAAAUGCUCAAACCUGUCUGGUGCAUGCAGGUGGCCCACACAAAAUAUCAAGAUCAUAGACUGCUCUACGACAGAGUAUUGGGGCCAGUUUUAUAGUCGUAUAUUUAUGAGUUUAAAAGUC
Molecule: long non-coding RNA, 890 nt
Organism: Oryzias melastigma (Indian medaka)
Lineage: Eukaryota; Metazoa; Chordata; Actinopteri; Beloniformes; Adrianichthyidae
Exons: 3
Source: RefSeq, a predicted model, not a curated record